UAAGCGAAUAGUGAAAUCAUCCCGCUCAACGGGAGACACAUUGUUCGAACUGCUAAGCUAGAGGACGAGAGAGGUCGCUGGAAUUCCUAGUGUAGGGGUAAAAUCCGUUGAUAUUAGGAGGAACACCAAUGGCGUAGGCAGGCGACUGGCUCGUUUCUGACACUCAGGCACGAAAGCGUGGGGAGCAAACAGGAUUAGAUACCCUGGUAGUCCACGCCGUAAACGAUGGAUGCUG
This 235-nucleotide ribosomal RNA is filed under the name uncultured Candidatus Saccharibacteria bacterium. Its description in RNAcentral is "partial 16S ribosomal RNA". It matches the Rfam family "Bacterial small subunit ribosomal RNA", at positions 584 to 818 of the family's 1533-position model. Lineage: Bacteria; Candidatus Saccharimonadota. The record is from RNAcentral.